GGCAUAUGGAAGUUCCCAGGCAAGGGACUGAAUCUCAGCUGCAGCUGGGACCCAUGCCAUAGCUGCGGCAACACUGGAUCCUUUAACCUACAGCUCUGGGCUGGGGACCAAACCUGCGCCUUUACAGUGACCCCCAAGCUCCUUGAGGUUCACAGGCUUCAGGUAUCAUGUCUUAGGUACCUCAGCUCCUAAGUGGUUAAAUCUGUUAAUUUUCCAAACAACUUCCACUGCCCUUUGGCCACUUUUCUCUGCUAACACCUGACAAUUAUAGCAAAUGUGACUCCAGUGUCCAUCUUCCUGCCAUUCUACACUGAUAAAUGUGGUUUUUGGAAAUUUUAUUUGAGCAUAUACAAUGUAUCUUCUAGGAAUAUAAUUUGUAUCAACAGUUUAGUUGUUACACAAUUUCACUGAUCUGUAGAUUGCCGAACCUAUAGUCUAUGGUAUUAUAAGACAGUCUUCUAAAAACCUAUCCCUUCUUAACUCCAAAUGAGAAACCGAAGGCACCUCACUCUUUACCAACCAUGGCAAUGAGAAGCCACUUCUCUACUCCUCGCCUUAUGGACACAUUUAGCCUGUGUGAAGAUGAAAAUGAAGGAUAGAUUACCCAUAUAUUUAAGGAACGAUGUAGCACCCAUCCCUUUACAUUGUUAAUUGUGAGCUAUUUGGUAGGUGGGUGACCAUGUGGGAUAGAAAAUAAAUGUAUGUUUUAGCAGACACAUAUAAGAUGUUAUCUGUAUCUGUAAGACUCAAGUUUAAUGAAAUGCAUAGGUAUAAUAAAUUUAGUCCUGAAAAUGGUGCAAUAUCCCCUUUGAGAGCGGAGAAACACCUGGCUUUGCCUGUUCCUCUUUCCUAGCAUGCAUGGACAUGUCUGAAAUCUGAAAUCCGGAUCUCUUACCACUGAAUUACUGUCACACAUUUAGCAAAAGGCAACAUGAAUUCAGUAGCUGUUUAUAAAACUAGACAUACGCUCCUCUUCCCCUAUGCAUAUAUAUCUUGGUGCCAAAUUUUGGAUCUUAAAUGUGUCCACUAGCUUCGUUUAUAGGCCCAGAGAUAUGAUGAGUAUUUUCAUUAAGAUAUCCUCCAUUUCUGAGGCGCUUAUAGAGAUGCUCGACUGUAUUCUUCCUCUUAGCAGAGAUCUGUGUGUGAACCAAAGGAUGAUGACUGCAUCAGUGGCACCAAGGACCCAUCACUUAUUCUCAAUCCGUUGUCCACUAACAUUGCACGAGAGGAAUAAAACUCACUGAUAUUCGCUACCAUUUAACUUUUUGUUCAAUCUCCAGCCAAAUAUCUUCAGUAAUUCAUCUCCCUGUCUCCCGUCUCCACUAACAUUUUCCUCCUUCAGCCUGCAGUUUCCUUUCCUUCUGACAUUACCUACAAUCUAUGAUCAUUUAUUUUUCUGAUUAAUUUUUUUUUAACUUUUCUCCUAUCCAGAAGGCCGCAAGGCCCUGCAAAUGAUAUGAAGACUUAGGAAAUCCUAAAAGAUGUGGCUCUGUUCCUAGGUACCUAUGACUUUCUGAUUAGGGUCUCUGAGAUUUAAAAAUUAUAAUUCAGAAUCCUGGGCGUUCCCGUUGGGGCUCAGCAGGUUAAGAACCUGACUAGUAUCCGUGAGGAUGCAGGUUCAGAUUCCUGGCCUUGCUCAGUGGGUUAAGGAUCCUGUGAGCUGUGGUGUAGGUCUCAGAUCCUGUGAGCUUAGAUCUGGCAUUGCUGUGGCUGUGGUGUAGGUCUGCAGCUGCAGCUCCGAUUUGACUUGAACUUCCAUAUGCCACAGGUGCGACCCUAAAAAGAAAAAAAGUUAUAAUUUAGCACAGGCAACAGGGUUUCUGGGCUGCUGAAUCCAAGGAUGAGAUGUCUAGAAUGUUGAAGGGGUAUGGCUCUAGUUGCCAUGUUGUAAAUUCACGCUUUUAGCUACCUUUUCUAUUAAACAAGGCAUUUCAUAGGCCUUGAUUCCCUGAUUUUGCCCUUGGUUAAGAUAGUCUAUAUUUAGUGGGGGACUUUUCUAGGGCCUAAUUAUAUCUUAGGAUAUUAAGUGGGUCAUUCCAUCUCUUUGUUAGACUGACAUUAUUCCAGGACCCUUGCAGUCUGAGAAUCCAAAUUUUACAUGAAGGAGAAAUUCUUUAUGUUCAGCAAAGUGCUUAACAUUUUGAAACAGUGCAAGGGCUCAAAUGAGUAAGCAAUCCUAUUUGGAGUAUCUAGAGGUCUCUGUCCCCAAAACAUAUGGGUGACAUGCUUUUUUAAAAGUUAACACAUCUGAAACAUGAAAGCUUUUGCUUUCUCUUUCAUACACAUAUUGCUAAUUUCUUGGUAAUUGGAUGGUUCAAUUUAAAUGGGAAAGAAAUGACUAGGAAGCUUUUUCUCAAUUAUCAGUAAAAACUGUAUCAUACCAUAAAUUGCUCUUAUUGUACUAACAUCAUGAAAAGACAAGGUCAAAUGCUGAUCAUAAUGGCCAAAUCAUCAGGAAAAUAGAUACAGCUACUUGUUCCUUACUCAGCUGGGGGAGCCUGAAUUUCCACAGCAAACAAAUGAGAUUUUUCCUUGGCUCCUUGGUAUAUGAUUCAGGCAUCUGCCAACUCCCUCACUCAGCAGAGGCUUGGUCACCACCUUUGGAGAAUAAAUGCUAUUAUUUUGAAGUUACUUUGAGGAGUAAGAGGCAACACAAAAUAUGUGAACAUGUUUUUCAAAGAGUGAAGCAGUAAUAAAUACAUGCAGCUAUUGUCACUUUCAUAGCUUUGCAUAUAUCCAGGAUGAACUAUGUUUCAAAGAGAGAGUCAGGAACUAAUUCUUGAGAUACCCUUAGAAAUCAGGAAAAAUGAAACUCAAUAUUGCCUAAUUCAAAGCGCUGCCAUUAAGUUGACAUUUUGUUUGACUUGGACAACUCAGAAUUGGCUUUGAUGAUUAAAAAUAAAUAAAUAAAAAAAAUUUAAAAAAACCUGGUCACUAGAGGAAUUCUCCCAAAUAAGUAGCUACUUUCUGAGGUAGAGCAUCCCAUCACAAGAAUGUC
RNAcentral lists this long non-coding RNA (2998 nucleotides) under Sus scrofa (pig). RNAcentral describes it as "lncRNA (ENSSSCG00015049440.1)". Lineage: Eukaryota; Metazoa; Chordata; Mammalia; Artiodactyla; Suidae. The record is from RNAcentral.